CGGGACCAACCAAUUUUGAAUUAUGAAAGAGACUAUUUUUUUAUUUUCAAAUAAAUAUAAAUAACCAAACUUAUCUAAUACAGAAACAGAAAUCAAAUCCCAUCAAAAAAUGACGCAACAUAAGUCUUGUUCAAAUUCAAAUAAAGUCGGCUCUUAACAAUUUCUAAAAUUUCCAAUUGCUUCGACUUCCACCAACUUGCUAUCACCAUUGUAUAUGUAUCUUUCACCAUUAUUACGCUUUCGAUAGUUCAGGCAACCCUGCAUAGACACAGUGAUCUGAGUUAUUUUACUGAAAUCUCUCCAUCAUUUGUGUCUUGGUACCGAAGUCAAAUUAACCUUCGAACAAAUAAAAUUAAGAGGUGUACCUUUCUUUGCACGCCAUGUGUGAUAGUUGGAACAAUCCUUCCUAUUAUGACCUGCAACUUUACAAAAGAAAAAAUCAUCUAUAGUUGGUUCCUGAUAUUGUAUCUUUUGUGCUGUUGUAUCCACAACUUCCUUAUUCUUUCUUUUUUUUCCUUAGGCACAAUGGCUAAGUGAACAUUUUCUAUCUUUUCCUAGUUCAGUCUAUACACAGUGAGAGAUUAGAUCAUUUGGAGAGCAUGUCUCUUUCUGACAAUUAUAGCUCACUUUAAACUGGCUAAAUUGUGGUGGGAGGGAUAUCAAAACUCAUACGAUAUAUUGUAUAGACUGAAAUCGGCAGCAAACUAUAAUUAAAUAACUGGAACUGAAAAAAAGUAGGACCUCGUACCAAUAAUUUAACCAACCACAACCACAAUUAAAUCUCUAACUUCAUACACGAAAAAAAGCAUGUGUCACGACCCGGAUUUCCCACCCUCGGGUGUCGUGAUGGCGUACUAAUACGAGCUAGGAAAGCCAAUUAUUUGCACACUUUACCUUUUUACACAUUUUAUAUUCAUUAACAAUUGCGGAGUAAUAAUAUUUAAAUAGCGGAAUUUAACAUAAGCGGAGGAAAAAGCAAUAAGCUAUAUGAACAUGAAUCCAAUACAACUGUUUGAGCCUCGACUACCCGGAACUGGUGUCACAGUUUCAUAGACGGUCUAGGAAUACUACAAAUAGAGGUCUGAAAGAAUUAAAUACAGCACUGUCUUUGGAAAUACAGGUAAGAAACAGGAAGGUAGAUAGAAGGAGACGCCAAGGCCUACGGACGCCUGUAGGGUUACCUCGGGUCGCCUGAUGAAUGAGAUUCAGCAAUCUCACUGCGGUCCAAAGUCCACAACACUGGGGUCUGCACAAAAGAGUGCAGAGUGUAGUAUCACCACAACCGACCCAUGUGCUGGUAAGUGUCUAGCCUAACCUCGGUGACGUAUGAGGCUAGGACCAGACUACCAAAUAACCUUGGGCAGUUAAAUGAUAUACAGCGGAAAGUAAAGAAGAAAAAAAUAAGUAAAGAUGGGAGGGAGAAACAUGCUUCGGGGAAUAACAGAUAAGAAUAGAUUAUCAAAGAACUAUAAAGGAAUCAAAAUCCAACCAUUAACAAGAAUAAGGAAAACAAAGGCAGAUUUCACUUUCUUUUCACGUCUUGUGGUAGGCGUACCACCCGCUCCCAUUUAAUUAUAUCUUGUGGUAGGCGUACCACCCGCUCCCAUUUAUAAUAUCAUUGUGGCGUAUAACCCGAUCCACAUAUAAUAUUGUUGCGGCGUAUAACCCGAUUCAUAUAUAAUAUUGUUGCGGCGUGNNNNNNNNNNNNNNNNNNNNNNNNNAACAAUCAUAAUAAGAGUCCCGACAAGGGAUCAAUAAGGUCUACACUAUCCCGACAAGGGAGUCGACAGUAUAACUAAUCACGUCCCGGCAAGGGAGAAGCAACUAUAACCAAACUCGUUACCACACCUAACUAUCUCAGCUACAACCAAACUUGUUACAACACCUAACUAUCUCAGUUAUAACCAAACUUGUUACAACACCUAACUAUCUCAGCUAUAACCAAACUUGUUACAAUACCUAACUACCUUAGCUAUAACCAAACUUGUUCCGACCCCUAUCACAAAGAAUCAUCAACCUAAGCAUCCGUAAUAUCAAUUAAGAACACAAUGUAAGGGAGCCAUAACUCAACAAUAGCCCGGCAAGGGGGAAACAUAAUGAUCUCUACUCUUUCUCACUUUUACUUUACAACUCGAACCAAUGCUCUAGAGUUUCAGUUAUCACUAUACUUUCACAAUUCGUUAUACAAUUGGAACCAACGCUCCUCAAUGUUCAAAGGUCACAAUCUUUCCACAACUUUACACAACAAAUAGAAAUCUUCACCAAGGCAUGAAUAAUACAACGAAGUCAUGAAAAUUACAAUAUAAGAGUCACGGUCAUGCUUGACACUAACGUAUAGAUACUCGGCACCAUGCCUAUACGUCAUACUCAAUAAGAAGAAAAUAGCAAAUAGGACACAACACCUAAUCCCUCAAGUUAAAGUUAGACCAAACACUUACCUCAAUGUCUCAGACACAACUCAAGUUUUAAUUAUAGCUUUACCUGUUGAUUCCACCACCAACUCGCUCGUAUCUAGCUACAAGUUACAUAAUUACAUAAAUAAACGCUAAAUGAAUCAAUUGAAUGUAUGAAAAUGAGUUUUUUCAAAGUUUUACCCUAAAAGUCAAAAUCGUCCCCGGGCCCACGUGGUCAAAACCCGAGGUUCGGACCAAUUUUUAAAAAAUCUAGGUUCUACCCAAAACACCCAAUUUCCCCCAUGAAAAUCAUUGAUUUGAAGUUGAAAUCAUCUUAAAAGAUGUUUAUGAUUGAAGAAAACUAGUUAAGAAUGACUUAUAAUUGAUUUGGAGAAGAAAGGUUGUUUGAAAAAUCGCGUCUUAUGUUUUUGGGGUUUUGAAAAAUGAAAAAUAACUGAAAAUCCCGUCUAUUUAUACUAUUCUCAAGUGCCCUGUGCGGACCGCACAAAAUGGACUGCGGCCGCACAGUCCUUCCUGGGAUGCUGCAGAUCAGCGCCCUGUGCGGACCGCACAAAACCGACCAUAGCCGCACAACCCAGUGAAAAACUGUGCGGACCGCACAAAACUGACUGCGACCGCACAGUCUCCACCGCGCACCACACGAACCUCACAUGGACUGCGCUGGCCCCUUCCGUGGUCGCACACAAUUUCUCGUGGACCGCACUAGCAGGUUCAGAGACCCGCAAAUUUCUCUGAACCUGCAACAAGUGUGUUUUUAGACCUAAGGCAUCCCGGAACCUACUCGAAACUCACCCGAUCCCUCGGGGCUCCUAACCCAACAUACGUACUAACUCACUAACAUCAUACGAAUUUAUCCAUACGAUCAAGUCGCCAAAAUAACCUCAAUAACAACGAAUUAAACCUCAAAAUCCAAGAAUUUUUCUCAAACUUCGUAAAACAUCAACUUUUGCAAUUUAAGUCCGAAUCACGUCAAAUGACAUCUGUUUUCACCAAAUUUUACAGAAAUGUCUUAAAUCAUAUAUAAGAUCGGUACCGGGCACCGAAACCAAAAUACGGACCCGAUACCAUUAUGUUCUAAGCAAAUUUCAUUUCAAAAUCCUUUAAACAAUUUCAGAAAACAAUUUUCUUUGAAAAUUCAUUUAUCGGGCUUGGGACCUCGGNNNNNNNNNNNNNNNNNNNNNNNNNGUUUACCCAAAACGUUGACCGAAGUUAAAUUUAUUCAUUUUACAGUCAAAACUUAUCAUUUUUCACAGACUUUCACAUUUACGCUUUCCGGCUACGUGCCCGAACUGCGCACAGACGUUAAAUGAGGUUUUCAAGGUCUCAGAACACAGAAUUUCGUUUUUAAACAAGGUCAUCACAGCAUGGAACCAAAAAUUGACUACAAAAAAGACAUCAGAAGCGUUGAAAAAAACAAAGAAUCUAAAAAGCAUAUGAAAACACAUGGAAAGCAACACAAAAUGCAAAUUUCAAAAACUCUAAACCCUAUAUUAUUCACCAAAAUAAUAGUUUAUACUUACUUGAAAGAGGCAUAACGAAGCAAAAAUUCCAAAACUUGAAUCCGAUUAUCACCCUCUUUAAUCGGCAACCAUUUUCGCUCUUAGCUAGUAGGGUUAGAAAUGUUUUGAUAAAGUGAAUGUGGUCGGAUGUGUUUAGGUUAAAACGAAGGGUUAGUAUCACGGGAGGGUCGGUAAUGGGACGGGUUACGAGUGGAUAGUUUAGGACUUGAUUUUAAAUUGGGCCAAUGAAAAUAUAACAAGUGGAUUAAAAAGUAUUUUUUUAAUAGAAGGGUGUUAAAAAUAAGGGUAUAGCUAAUGCAGAACACAAACGGUAAGUGCUUUUUUAUUCAAAAAAUUGGAAGGAGACUUUUAUGGUACCAAAUUCAAUACUUCUCCCUAAAUAAGGGUAAUUUAGCCCUUUUCCGUAGAAUUAUUUAGUUAUAUUCUCCCUAAAUGUGUAGUUGUUACGUCAGAAGUCAACCCAAUGACCAUCAAUGUUGGAAUAUGC
Molecule: long non-coding RNA, 4421 nt
Filed under: Nicotiana tabacum (common tobacco)
Lineage: Eukaryota; Viridiplantae; Streptophyta; Magnoliopsida; Solanales; Solanaceae
Description: long non-coding RNA (NTAB_LNC015304)
Source: RNAcentral